This 465-nucleotide ribosomal RNA is filed under the name Vreelandella stevensii. RNAcentral describes it as "partial 16S ribosomal RNA". It matches the Rfam family "Bacterial small subunit ribosomal RNA", at positions 338 to 795 of the family's 1533-position model. Lineage: Bacteria; Pseudomonadati; Pseudomonadota; Gammaproteobacteria; Oceanospirillales; Halomonadaceae. The record is from RNAcentral.
CCUACGGGUGGCAGCAGUGGGGAAUAUUGGACAAUGGGCGAAAGCCUGAUCCAGCCAUGCCGCGUGUGUGAAGAAGGCCUUCGGGUUGUAAAGCACUUUCAGUGGGGAAGAAAGCCUUGGGGCUAAUACCCUCGAGGAAGGACAUCACCCACAGAAGAAGCACCGGCUAACUCCGUGCCAGCAGCCGCGGUAAUACGGAGGGUGCGAGCGUUAAUCGGAAUUACUGGGCGUAAAGCGCGCGUAGGCGGUCUGAUAAGCCGGUUGUGAAAGCCCCGGGCUCAACCUGGGAACGGCAUCCGGAACUGUCAGGCUAGAGUGCAGGAGAGGAAGGUAGAAUUCCCGGUGGAGCGGUGAAAUGCGUAGAGAUCGGGAGGAAUACCAGUGGCGAAGGCGGCCUUCUGGACUGACACUGACGCUGAGGUGCGAAAGCGUGGGUAGCAAACAGGAUUAGAUACCCCUGUAGUC